UACCAGACUCCUACGGGAGGCAGCAGUGGGGAAUAUUGCACAAUGGGGGAAACCCUGAUGCAGCAACGCCGCGUGAGUGAAGAAGUAUUUCGGUAUGUAAAGCUCUAUCAGCAGGGAAGAAAAUGACAGUACCUGACUAAGAAGCCCCGGCUAACUACGUGCCAGCAGCCGCGGUAAUACGUAGGGGGCAAGCGUUAUCCGGAUUUACUGGGUGUAAAGGGAGCGUAGACGGCUGCGCAAGUCAGAAGUGAAAGCCCGGGGCUCAACCGCGGGACUGCUCUGGAAACUGUAAAGCUGGAGUGCGGGAGGGGCAGGCGGAAUUCCUGGUGUAGCGGUGAAAUGCGUAGAUAUCAGGAGGAACACCGGUGGCGAAGGCGGCCUACUGGACUGCGACUGACGUUGAGGCCCGAAAGCGUGGGGAGCAAACAGGAUUAGAUACCCUGGUA
RNAcentral lists this ribosomal RNA (446 nucleotides) under uncultured bacterium. RNAcentral's name for it is "bacterial SSU rRNA". It matches the Rfam family "Bacterial small subunit ribosomal RNA", at positions 329 to 792 of the family's 1533-position model. The record is from RNAcentral.